GUUCUUGCUUUGGCAGCACUUAUACUAAAAUUGGAACGAUACAGAGAAGAUUAGCAUGGCCCCUGCGCAAGGAUGACACAAAAUAAAAGGCAGGGUAAAUCCACAUAC
Cricetulus griseus (Chinese hamster) is the source of this 108-nucleotide small nuclear RNA. Lineage: Eukaryota; Metazoa; Chordata; Mammalia; Rodentia; Cricetidae. The record is from Ensembl.